This 497-nucleotide ribosomal RNA is filed under the name uncultured bacterium. Its description in RNAcentral is "partial 16S ribosomal RNA". It matches the Rfam family "Bacterial small subunit ribosomal RNA", at positions 28 to 507 of the family's 1533-position model. The record is from RNAcentral.
GACGAACGCUGGCGGCGUGCCUAAUACAUGCAAGUCGAGCGAACGGACGAGAAGCUUGCUUCUCUGAUGUUAGCGGCGGACGGGUGAGUAACACGUGGAUAACCUACCUAUAAGACUGGGAUAACUUCGGGAAACCGGAGCUAAUACCGGAUAAUAUUUUGAACCGCAUGGUUCAAAAGUGAAAGACGGUCUUGCUGUCACUUAUAGAUGGAUCCGCGCUGCAUUAGCUAGUUGGUAAGGUAACGGCUUACCAAGGCAACGAUGCAUAGCCGACCUGAGAGGGUGAUCGGCCACACUGGAACUGAGACACGGUCCAGACUCCUACGGGAGGCAGCAGUAGGGAAUCUUCCGCAAUGGGCGAAAGCCUGACGGAGCAACGCCGCGUGAGUGAUGAAGGUCUUCGGAUCGUAAAACUCUGUUAUUAGGGAAGAGCAUAUGUGUAAGUAACUGUGCACAUCUUGACGGUACCUAAUCAGAAAGCCACGGCUAACUACGUG